Non-coding RNA from Rhamnusium bicolor, 69 nucleotides. Lineage: Eukaryota; Metazoa; Arthropoda; Insecta; Coleoptera; Cerambycidae. The record is from the annotation of a GenBank genome assembly.
UCUACGGUCGAGUGGUAAAGACAUUUGCCUUUCACCCUGGAGUCCUGGGUUCGAUUCCUGAUUGAGGAG